Orcinus orca (killer whale) is the source of this 5101-nucleotide long non-coding RNA. RefSeq lists it as uncharacterized. Lineage: Eukaryota; Metazoa; Chordata; Mammalia; Artiodactyla; Delphinidae. The transcript is spliced from 6 exons. The record is from RefSeq and is a predicted model, not a curated record.
CUUCCUGCGCCUGCGUGGUGGGCGUAGCGUGUGUUUGGGCUGGAAUAUCCUGGGGCUUCUCCUUCCUAAUUCUUUAGUGUCCUCGGAUCCUGCCCUCUGACGAGUGCUCGGAACUUCCCUUCAGAGUAGAAUCCUCUUUUUUUUUUUGACUUUUACAAGCGGGAAAAAGACCUGCGCCCACUAGUUGUAAACACUGGGAGAACAAUAUAUUGUAUAUGUAGUACGGCUUAUUUUUCUGUAAAACCCUCGUUCCGCGGACUCCUAAUUGUAUUAAGAGCUUUUAUAUUUUGGUUUUUUGUAUUUUGACUACAUUGUGGUGCGGUAGUAGUGCCGGAAGGCCUAAUCCUGCAAUGAAUCCUGCUAUUCACUGAGCACCUAGUACGUACUAAGUACUGUUCUGGGCGCCGGGAAAACAACUGCCGUUGCAAUCUGAAGGAGCAGGAAAGCCUUAAUAAUAAUUACGUCUAGCUUUUUUUUUUUAAAUCGUUUUACAAAUUUCUCAACUUUCUUUGUGGGCGUAGUACAUUUCGGUUUACUGGAGUCUUGUUAAAUCUUUUGUUUACACCUACCAUAGCUAUUAUAAUACAGGUCUGUUUUCCCAUUUCUUAACUUUUCAUAGGAUUAUCAUUCUCAGAAGGCAGGAAAUAUUUAUCUACUAACUACGCACAGCACCGCCUUUAGGAAAUGCUUUCUCAGCUGUAUACGCUGCAGACACCGUGCCCACCUCCUGCCACCCGCCCCACCCGUAUUUCUUUUUGACAGAGCUCAAAAUCUAGCUUUCUUUGGGGUGAAAUGUAACAUUUAAUAUAAAUUCUAGAUAAAGGAAACAACCCACUGAUUUGAAAACUGUCAGUAGACGACUGAGUUUCCGACCACAUGAUAAAAAGGCAUCACUGAUGAAAAGAGCCCAAGUAUUCAGCAUACCAAAGGAGAUGAUGCCUCCCUUAGGAAAAAUUGUGAAGCCCCCAGAGUCUGCAACAACCAUGUCACCAGCUUAGGAAUAUCAGGCAUCAGUAAGAAGAUGGAGAAAAUCUGCUUUGUGUGGGAGAACUCAAGAGAAUGUUCUGGCCUUUGGGUGUUGACUGAAAAACCAUACCCCGAAGCUAUUCAGAGGAAGGAAUGUAGGUAAAAAGCAAAAAUGAUUUUGCAUGUUAGAGGUUUAGGGAAAAGAUUUGAUGGCAAAUAAGGCAGAAUAUCAUCUUUCUCAAUUAUAAAGUUGUGGGAUGUCAUCUAUCCAUGGUAAAGACCCAUCUCCUCCAUCUCCACACAUAAAGUGGACAAUUGCAAACCCCACUAACACAGUAUACAUGGUAACCCCAAAUACACACAGUGCACCUUGAUCUCAGGUCUUAGUGCUUCACAGGGUUAAUCGAUCUGUUUCUCUUGAAAGGACUGCAUCUAAUCCUUUAAGUAUUAGGAAGUGGAUUGCUAAUCCAUAAACAAAAGAGAAAAGCAAGUCCCUGUGCUACCUGAAUGAUAGGUAAAUCUUCCAUUCAGGAGUUCAUUGCUAUUAAGGAGACAACACCUCUGCUGAGAAUUAAGCCUAAACUGAGGUAAAGUGGACCUUGAGAUUAGGAGAGAAAAAGAACCAGUACACAGUGCUGAUGUGUCAGGUAAAGAACAAGGAAGGAGGCAAGCUGAGUCCUUUAGUAAGGUGUGUGUGUGUGUGUGUUUAAAUAGAAUAAGAAAACUGGAUGUUUAAAUCAACAAAAUGCAGAAGAUAAAUUAGUGUGUAAGAUGGGCAUUAAUAAGCAUAUAUUUUACUAUUGGAAAAAAAAGUUUUAAAAAAAGGAACUAGUUUAAAGCAAGAUAGUUUCCUUUUUAGUUUUCUUUUAUUUACCAAAUAUGGUAAAACUGUAGCAGCUACAGACUUAACAGAAGUAAAACAGAUGAUGUUAUUAGGAAGUCACAAAUGCACUGGUUUUAGACUUCGUUGGCUUUUAAAAAUAAAACGGGGACUUCCCUGGUGGUGCAGUGGUUGAGAGUCCACCUGCCAAUGCAGGGGACACAGGUUCGAGCCCUGGUCUGGGAGAAUCCCGCAUGCUGCGGAGCAACUGGGCCCGUGCACCACAACUACUGAGCCUACGCUCUAGAGCCCGCGAGCCACAACUGCUGGGCCCAUGUGCCACGGCUACUGGGGCCUACACACCUGGAGCCCGUGCUCCGCAACAAGAGAAGACAUGACAAUGAGAAGCCCGCGCACCGCAACGAGGGGUAGACCCCGCUCGCCGCAACUAGGGAAAGCCCGAGCGCAGCAGCAAGGACCCAACACAGCCAAAAAUAAAAUUAAUUUGUUAAUUAAAAAUAAAAUAAAAUAAAACAGUUGCCCUUUUUAUUUUCCAUUCCAUAUUACAUAUUAAAUACUCUCAAAUAUCUAAAGGACCCCAAUCAGAAUUUUUUAAUAAAAUAAUCUUGACGUGACUUCUUUCUUAUGAAUUUACUAAAAUACUUGAGAGGAGAAAGAAUAGUUAAAAAGUUAAAUAGUUAAAAAGACAUAUCCUAUGAUUGUAAUCUACUUUUAAUCUAACUAGAGACUAAAUUAAUUACUAAUUUUUAUGCCUGCUUUAUUAUAAAAUGGUAGCCCAGUUGUAAACAAGUUACUCUGAUUUUAUGUCAAAAGACUAGCACAAGUGAAAACAGAAAGUCUAGAGUUUAGUUAAUAGUAGUGUAUUAUACCAAUGUUGGUUUCUUAUUUUGGCAGCUGCAAUACAGUAAGAUAAAAUGUUAACAUUGGUGGAAACUGGCUGAGAGUAAUAUGGGAACUCCCUGUAAAUAAAAGAGUAAAAAGAGUCUUUGUGACUCUUCUGUAAAUAUAAAAUUAUUCUAAAAGAAAAAGGUUAUGAUUUUCUAAAAAGCCUAGCACACGAUAUUUAUAACAAUGGGUGUAAGGAUAUAAGGAUAAUGGCUUGCUCAAUAUUAUCCAGAUGAUUACUGCAAUCAUGAAAAUUAUACAUAAAAAGCUUGUUAAUUAAUAUUUUGGACUUUUCUAAGUAAAAUCUAUGUUUAAAAAUUCAGCUCAGACUAUCAGUUCUAAACAAGUAAUCUAUAAAGCACAAUCAGACUACGAACAGUUCUCUAAUUUGGGGGAUAUUAGAAUACCCAGAAAUAGUCUUUCUUGAGACCAAAAUAAGUUGGAUGAGACCAUCUGAACAAAAGAAAGUUAUUGUCUGCCAGUUUCUCCUGCAUUUCUGGUUAAUUUGGAAGGAAAAGUAAAGAACUGCAAGGAAUCAGAUGUCCAUAUAUAUCUUCUUUUUCCAUUUUUUUCUGAUAUUCAGAUAUUUCUGAAAUCAGGGCAGUUGGUAAGAUCUAAAAACCCAGGAGACAGAGCUCUUUUAAUAAGUGAUUUUGUAGAGCUCAUUAAAGAUAUCACAUGCCUUCUUAUUAAAUUAACUAACUAACUAACCCAAAGAACCUGUGUCCAGUCCCGCCACAGUUCUUGGCAUUUAGUCUUAGAGAGCUGGCAGACAGUAGCCCAUGGGCCACAUCUGGCCUGUUGUUCUUAUUUUUAAAGCCCAUGAAUUAAGACUGGUUUUUACACUUUUAUUUUUUUUUUGCGGUACGCGGGCCUCUCACCAAUACGGCCUCUCCCGCCGCAGAGCACAGGCUCCGGACGCGCAGGCUCAGCGGCCAUGGCUCACGGGCCCAGCCGCUCCGCGGCAUGUGGGAUCUUCUCGGACCGGGGCACGAACCCGUGUCCCCUGCAUCGGCAGGUGGACUCUCAACCACUGCGCCACCAGGGAAGCCCUAGGUUUUUACACUUUUAAAUAAUUGAAGAAAAAAAGACCAAAAGGAGAAUAUUUCAUGACACAUGAAAUGAAAUUCAACUUUUAGCAUCUGUAAAUAAAGUUUUAUUAGAACACACCAAUAUCUCUAUGGCUGCUUUUCUGUUACAAAGGCAGAGCUGAAUAGUUGUGACAGAGAUGAUAAAAUCUAGCAUAUAUACUGGCCCUUUAGAAAAAAAGUUUGUCCAUUCUAUUAUAGACAACUUCCCCCAUAUACACACACCUCCCUCUUGGUUUUCAGAGCAGUGUUCUCAUUUGACUUUCCAGCUAACUGCCACUCUGGAAUGUAAGCAGCCAUACGACAGGCUUGGUCUGGUGAGGACAGGACAAGGAGUGUGCUUAGCUAGGAGGGGCCUGGCAGACACUAAUACAAAGGUAAGAUGUCAAGUACUGGAAGAGCUAAUAUAUGGCUGAAGAGGCUGGGCAGGUCCUGGUGAUCUGAUAGAAAGGUCCCAUUUUAGGAAGUCAGCCGAGGAAUGGGGAGACAGGAAUAGGAGACAUGAUAUGAGUGGUCUAGGAAGAGCCUAGAAGGUCAGAGUUUGCAAGAGCUGCAUGAACAAGCAGGGUGAAACCAAACCCACAUUCUAAUCUUGAGACAAAGGUCACUGCCCCAUUUUACCCUGCUAUCUGGGGUUGGAUGGCAUUAGGUCCAAAACUACUAAUGACAUUCAGAAGAAAAUCAGGGACGUGAGGGGAACCCUACCUUCUCAUAGAUUCAACUCCUGUGAUGGAUGCUGAAGAAAAACCGCUUAUCUCUCGACCACUAGACUUUCCUUGAUACUGGUCUUCCUCCACUUACAAUGGUGUUACGUCCUGAUGAACCCAUCGUAAGCUGAACAUAUCGAGCUGUGGGAGCCAUCUUGUGUUCAUGAAUCAACAAGAAUAAGGGCUGGCAGAGCAGAGGGAAGGAGCCUGAGAUCUGAUGACUUUGCUGAAUGAAGGCCAGCUACCGAGUUGCAGAUAGGAGACCUGUCUUUGAAUUGGAAGCUGAAGUGGGGACACUCCAUUCCGGGCAGAAGAAAUGCUUAUUCUUCUCCACUAAGGAAAAAAACAAGUUACAUAGCAUAAAUGUUCUCUGAAAGCAAUGGAGAUAGAAUGAUCCACCAGAGUUGAAUCAACAGAGGCAAGAGUGGUUUGGAAAAAAACCAAAGUAACAAAAUGUGAUUUAAAAAUACAUUUUACAGGGCUUCCCUGAUGGCGCAGUGGUUGAGAGUCCGCCUGCCGAUGCAGGGGACACGGGUUCGUGCCCCGGUCCGGGAAGAUCCCACAUGCUGCGGAGCAGCUGGGCCCAUGAGCUGUGGCCGCUGAGCCUGCGCGUC